RNAcentral lists this ribosomal RNA (480 nucleotides) under uncultured bacterium. RNAcentral's name for it is "partial 16S ribosomal RNA". It matches the Rfam family "Bacterial small subunit ribosomal RNA", at positions 355 to 828 of the family's 1533-position model. The record is from RNAcentral.
UAGGGAAUCUUCCACAAUGGACGCAAGUCUGAUGGAGCAACGCGCGUGAGUGAAGAAGGUCUUCGGAUCGUAAAGCUCUGUUGUUGGUGAAGAAGGAUAGAGGCAGUAACUGGUCUUUAUUUGACGGUAAUCAACCAGAAAGUCACGGCUAACUACGUGCCAGCAGCCGCGGUAAUACGUAGGUGGCAAGCGUUGUCCGGAUUUAUUGGGCGUAAAGCGAGCGCAGGCGGAAUGAUAAGUCUGAUGUGAAAGCCCACGGCUCAACCGUGGAACUGCAUCGGAAACUGUCAUUCUUGAGUGCAGAAGAGGAGAGUGGAACUCCAUGUGUAGCGGUGGAAUGCGUAGAUAUAUGGAAGAACACCAGUGGCGAAGGCGGCUCUCUGGUCUGCAACUGACGCUGAGGCUCGAAAGCAUGGGUAGCGAACAGGAUUAGAUACCCUGGUAGUCCAUGCCGUAAACGAUGAGCGCUAGGUGUUGGGG